RNAcentral lists this unclassified non-coding RNA (411 nucleotides) under soil metagenome. Its description in RNAcentral is "partial contains 5.8S ribosomal RNA, internal transcribed spacer 2, and large subunit ribosomal RNA". The stretch from base 4 to 121 matches the Rfam family "5.8S ribosomal RNA", at positions 39 to 154 of the family's 154-position model. The record is from RNAcentral.
GAUAAGAACGCAGUGAAAUGCGAUACUUGGUGUGAAUUGCAGAAUCCCGUGAACCAUCGAGUCUUUGAACGCAAGUUGCGCCCGAAGCCGUCAGGCCGAGGGCACGCCUGCCUGGGCGUCACACGCCGUUGCCCCCCCGCGCCCCGCACCCAACUCUUUGGGAGCGACCGCGGGGCGGGCUGAUGAUGGCCUCCCGUGCGCUCCGCCGCGCGGUUGGCCCAAAUACCGAGUCCCCGGCGACGUGCGCCACGACGAUCGGUGGUUGAGAGACCUCUGUCGCAAGUCGUGCGCGCCCGUCGCGUCACGCGGGCUCGCAUAGCGCCUCGCGCCGCACCCGGUGCGGAGCUUUCAACGCGACCCCAGGUCAGGCGGGGUUACCCGCUGAAUUUAAGCAUAUCAAUAAGCGGAGGA